Molecule: ribosomal RNA, 490 nt
Filed under: uncultured soil bacterium
Lineage: Bacteria
Description: bacterial SSU rRNA
Rfam family: Bacterial small subunit ribosomal RNA
Source: RNAcentral
AGAUUGAACGCUGGCGGCAGGCCUAACACAUGCAAGUCGAGCGGUAGAGAGGUGCUUGCAUCUCUUGAGAGCGGCGGACGGGUGAGUAAUGCCUAGGAAUCUGCCUAGUGGUGGGGGAUAACGUUCGGAAACGGACGCUAAUACCGCAUACGUCCUACGGGAGAAAGCGGGGGACCUUCGGGCCUCGCGCCAUUAGAUGAGCCUAGGUCGGAUUAGCUAGUUGGUGAGGUAAUGGCUCACCAAGGCGACGAUCCGUAACUGGUCUGAGAGGAUGAUCAGUCACACUGGAACUGAGACACGGUCCAGACUCCUACGGGAGGCAGCAGUGGGGAAUAUUGGACAAUGGGCGAAAGCCUGAUCCAGCCAUGCCGCGUGUGUGAAGAAGGUCUUCGGAUUGUAAAGCACUUUAAGUUGGAGAAGGGUUGUAAACCUUAAUACGUGACGAACUACUUGACGUUACCGACGAGAAUAAGCACCGGACUAACUUCGU